RNAcentral lists this long non-coding RNA (425 nucleotides) under Vigna radiata. RNAcentral's name for it is "long non-coding RNA (VRAD_LNC002629)". The record is from RNAcentral. Lineage: Eukaryota; Viridiplantae; Streptophyta; Magnoliopsida; Fabales; Fabaceae.
GUAAGUCCGAGUAUCGUUUUCCCAAAAGACUCUUAGGCUUUAACUUUCAUGUAACCUAAUUGCAUAAGACUUGAGAAAAGAGAAUAAAUUUGGUGGUGAUAUGCAAAGAACAAAAAUAAACAUGCAAUGCAAUUGAUUCAAUUGGUUUUGGAAAACUAUAUGGAUGAAUGGUGUUGUUGGGGUUUACAAUUUCAUCUUAUCCACUCUCAUAUAUCUACUCUUCUUAUUUAAUUCACUUAUUUAACUAAUCUCUAUGCAUACUUUCUUAAUUACCCUUAACCCAAUCCCUUGGUGAAAAGAGCCUAUUACUAAUUACCGGCUUGCUAUCCCUAGCCUCCCCUAGUAACCAAUAAUGCAAUGCGAUAUGAAGUAAUUACAAAUGAUCGUCCCCUAGGCGAUAUUGACAUAAUCAAGGAAUUUCCCAC